AUUUUGAUAUUUUAGGAAUCAACAAAAAUGGAUCCCAUUGAAAUUAAGCCAUUUAACAUUUUCAUUGGCAAUCCCUAUUAGGUAUCAACAUUUGUUAUAAUAUUAUAUAAUUUUUCGUAUGUUUACAUGGCUGCUAAUGUUUUAUACAAUUUUUUUUAUGUUUUAUGUUGAUACAUUGUAUUUGAUCAAAUAAAUACAAUUUCAUUAACACAAAAUAUUUGUUGGUCAAUGGGAACCAUCUAGAACUGUUUCCUGCUAUCAAAACAAUAAAAAGUGAACUCAGAUUGCCAAUGAGACAAAUUUCC
This 305-nucleotide long non-coding RNA is filed under the name Mytilus galloprovincialis (Mediterranean mussel). The record is from RNAcentral. Lineage: Eukaryota; Metazoa; Mollusca; Bivalvia; Mytilida; Mytilidae.